RNAcentral lists this ribosomal RNA (470 nucleotides) under uncultured soil bacterium. RNAcentral's name for it is "bacterial SSU rRNA". It matches the Rfam family "Bacterial small subunit ribosomal RNA", at positions 26 to 492 of the family's 1533-position model. The record is from RNAcentral.
AGAUUGAACGCUGGCGGCAUGCCUUACACAUGCAAGUCGAACGGUAACGCGGGGCAACCUGGCGACGAGUGGCGAACGGGUGAGUAAUACAUCGGAACGUGCCCAGUGGUGGGGGAUAGCCCGGCGAAAGCCGGAUUAAUACCGCAUACGACCUAUGGGUGAAAGCGGGGGACCGCAAGGCCUCGCGCCAUUGGAGCGGCCGAUGUCAGAUUAGGUAGUUGGUGGGGUAAAAGCCUACCAAGCCGACGAUCUGUAGCUGGUCUGAGAGGACGACCAGCCACACUGGGACUGAGACACGGCCCAGACUCCUACGGGAGGCAGCAGUGGGGAAUUUGGACAAGUGGGCGCAAGCCUGAUCCAGCCAUGCCGCGUGCGGGAAGAAGGCCGUCCGGGUUGUAAACCGCGUUUUGUCGAAGGGAACGAAACGCACCGUGGACCAACGUACCCCGGUGUAAUCGACGGUACCUGAA